UACGUAGGGUGCAAGCGUUGUCCGGAAUUAUUGGGCGUAAAGAGCUCGUAGGCGGCUUGUCGCGUCGGCUGUGAAAACCCGUGGGCUACCACCCGGGCCUGCAGCUGAUACGGGCAGCUAGAAUUCGGUAGGGGAGACUGGAAUUCCUGGUGUGAGCGGUGAAAUGCGCAGAUAUCAGGAGGAACACCGGUGGCGAAGGCGGGUCUCUGGGCCGAUACUGACGCUGAGGAGCGAAAGCGUGGGGAGCGAACAGG
This 254-nucleotide ribosomal RNA is filed under the name uncultured bacterium. RNAcentral describes it as "partial 16S ribosomal RNA". It matches the Rfam family "Bacterial small subunit ribosomal RNA", at positions 524 to 776 of the family's 1533-position model. The record is from RNAcentral.